CUCCUUUCCCAUUCACAGAAGUCCUGAAUGCACUGUCAUCCAAGAGGAUGGCUUACAAUCAAAGACCUAAUCACAGUUUCUCUUAAUUUACUAAAAAUUUUUUUAAGUCUGCAUUGUUCCAGCAUGAUUUAGCACAACCCUUAAUCAUUGUUUAAUCAACAUAAUCAGUAAAUGUAGACACAGUUAUUUUGACAAGCCUAGAUUAAAAAUUACUCUUCCAGUCUUCGUUUAUGAUUACUCUAUCCCGUACAUUGUUACCCCUGAUUAUUCAUGCCCCCUUCAUUCUUAACUUUCAGUGAGGAGGAGGAGAGAGUACUAUCAGAGCUAAGACCUGGAGAAUAGACAUUACGAUCUUCACAAAUAUCACCCUUUCUUGGAAACCAGGAUCACCCCCGCAGAAAAACACCAUCCCAUUAUUUUAACACAGCAUAGCUUUUUCCCUGCUAAAAGGCAUUUGGUCUGUAGGAUGGUUUUGUUUUGUUUUGCUUUUAAUUGCAGCAUUUGCAGUCAGUGCCCAGCUUGCAAGUGGGUCUUCAAAUAGGCUCAGUGCCCAUCUCACCAACUGCCGCAUUCUCUCACGGCCGCCAAGAGAAGACUUUGCUGUUUCAGCAUUCCAGGUGAGAGGGUGGAAAACACAAAUUCCGGGAGCUUAUGGACCAGGCUUCUUCAUGGGAUCUCAGCAUGGACACAGCAAGCUUGACUCAGCGAUUCCAAGUGUCUGUAUUGCGUUACAUGAAGUCCCCCAUGGCUGGCAUCAACAGUACAUUGCCUGAGGAAGGAAGAAGCCAAGCUGUCCUGUGAUCCCUGAAGACUAAGCCAGCAAGAGAAGCACCGGUUAGUCACGGACGAGAGCACAGGGAUUAGAAGUUGUUCAGCCAGAUGUAUCAGGUGAC
RNAcentral lists this long non-coding RNA (893 nucleotides) under Equus caballus (horse). RNAcentral describes it as "lncRNA (ENSECAG00000054780.1)". The record is from RNAcentral. Lineage: Eukaryota; Metazoa; Chordata; Mammalia; Perissodactyla; Equidae.